UUGCAUAAACAACUGGUGCCCCCAGGACUGGCAGCCACUGUGUGCCACGGCCAUGGGCCCCCAGCUCCUGAACUGCGUCCUGCUUUGUCUCCUGGGAGCAGGCCCCGCGGAAGCUGAGGUGACCCAGACCCCGAGACACCUCAUCGCGAAGACCCAAAAGAGGUUGACGAUAAAUUGUUCUCAGAGUAUGAACCAUGAAGCUAUGUACUGGUACCGACAAGACCCAGGGCUGGGUCUAAGGCUGAUCUACUUUUCAAGGAGCGUUGAGUUGUUUGAAACGGGAGAUGUCCCUGAUGGGUACAGUGUCACUCGCAAAGAGAAGGGGAAGUUCCCCCUGACCCUGGAGUGGAGCAGCACCAACCAGACCGCUGUGUACCUAUGUGCCAGCAGUCUAACCACAGCACUGCACAGCCAGCUGCUCUUGGCACAAAAAGGGCAGCCAGAGAGCAAGCAGGCUCCGCCCUCAGGAGGCCCACCCACCGGGAGGGAAAAGUCCCGGCACCACCAGCGCCCUCCUGAUGCCCCGGCUCAGAGGACUCUGAGCAGUGCAGCCCCUCUGCAGUGA
This is a non-coding RNA of Manis javanica (Malayan pangolin), 565 nucleotides long. The record is from the annotation of a RefSeq genome assembly. NCBI's taxonomy places the organism in Eukaryota, Metazoa, Chordata, Mammalia, Pholidota, Manidae.